CAUUGCAGKCCGUGGAGAACAUCCAGGACCACUCCUGUCCGAGGGCCGGCUGAAUAAAAACAAACGCCACACUGUUCGUUCCACUUUGWUCCGCACUACGUGUGCCUGUGGYGUA
RNAcentral lists this ribosomal RNA (115 nucleotides) under Moduza lycone kojimai. Its description in RNAcentral is "partial 5.8S ribosomal RNA". Lineage: Eukaryota; Metazoa; Arthropoda; Insecta; Lepidoptera; Nymphalidae. The record is from RNAcentral.